This is a non-coding RNA of Myodes glareolus (Bank vole), 797 nucleotides long. NCBI's taxonomy places the organism in Eukaryota, Metazoa, Chordata, Mammalia, Rodentia, Cricetidae. The record is from RefSeq and is a predicted model, not a curated record.
CUAGACUCGGGUGUGUGUCGGGGCCAGAAGAAGAAGCCCCUCUGCUCGUACAGAACAAAUGAAAAUAGUGAAAACACAGGCCCAGCUCUUCUCACUGUCUCUCAAUUUCUUCUCGGAGAAAAGAAUCCAAAUGGCCCAGUCUGGAACCCGGGAAAGGAAGUGGCAGAAAUGGAAGUCACCACUACCAACAACUUUAGCACACAACCCCCAGGCCAGUCUGGGAAGACUAGCAGGCAGGCAGCCCGUGCACCGCCUGUGAGAAUGUUAACACCUCUUUUUGCUAACAUUACCGAAACUAAGCCAUGGUAAAGGGCCUAGCUGAGGUUGGAGCCAGCUCAGGACAAGAAGGGAGGCCCUAAAGUGGAAGGUCUUGCCCAACACUGGUUUAGGACAUUUAACUGUAGUUCCCUUAAAGUCGGCUGUUUCAGGACAGAGGAAAGGAAGCAGGUAAACCAUGGCCUGGCCAAUCCCUCUACUCUGGACAUUCCGCUGGGCAAAGGCCCAAGUCAGAGAACCCGGCAAAGAAAGGGACAUGAUGGUCACAGCCUCCUUGCAACAAUCUGGACUGUCUCCCAGCGGCCAGACCCGCUGAUACCUUUGUAGUGGACCCGGAGGUUUCCCUGGGAGAGGCCGAUGUAGUUGUACUUGUCCUUGGGGCUCCAGGAUCGCGGCAGUGGCGUUUCGUGCUGAUUGACAGCAGGGUACAAGCGCUGCAGGCGCCGGCUCAAUUCCUGCUCCCCGGGUGACGGUAGCCCGCCCCCUGCAUCCCCACCGGAGGAGUCCCCAGUCUGCGGGUU